ACUCAAAUGAAUAGACGGGGCUCCGCACAAGCAGUGGAUCAUGUGGUUUAAUUCGAUGCUACGCGUAGAACCUUACCAGGGCUUGACAUCCCGAUCGUACCCCUAGGAAACUAGGGGGUCAGUUCGGCUGGAUCGGUGACAGGCGCUGCAUGGCCGUCGUCAGCUCGUGUCGUGAGAUGUUGGGUUAAGUCCCGCAACGAGCGCAACCCUUGUCGUGUGUUGUAUUUUUCACGCGAGACCGCCCGGGCCAACCGGGAGGAAGGUGGGGAUGAAGUCAGGUCAGCAUGGCCCUUACGCCCUGGGCUACACACGUGAUACAAUGGCCGGAACAACGGGUCGCUAACCCGCAAGGGGGAGCUAAUCCCAUCAAACCCGGUCCCAGUUCGGAUUGCAGGCUGCAACUCGCCUGCAUGAAGUUGGAAUUGCUAGUAACCGUGGGUCAGCACACCACGGUGAAUACGUUCCCGGAGCUUGUACACACCGCCCGU
RNAcentral lists this ribosomal RNA (488 nucleotides) under uncultured bacterium. RNAcentral's name for it is "partial 16S ribosomal RNA". It matches the Rfam family "Bacterial small subunit ribosomal RNA", at positions 899 to 1397 of the family's 1533-position model. The record is from RNAcentral.